AUACGUAGGUGGCAAGCGUUAUCCGGAAUUAUUGGGCGUAAAGAGGGAGCAGGCGGCAGCAAGGGUCUGUGGUGAAAGCCUGAAGCUUAACUUCAGUAAGCCAUAGAAACCAGGCAGCUAGAGUGCAGGAGAGGAUCGUGGAAUUCCAUGUGUAGCGGUGAAAUGCGUAGAUAUAUGGAGGAACACCAGUGGCGAAGGCGACGAUCUGGCCUGCAACUGACGCUCAGUCCCGAAAGCGUGGGGAGCAAAUAGGAUUAGAUACCCUAGUAGUCCACGCCGUAAACGAUGAGUACUAAGUGUUGGAUGUCAAAGUUCAGUGCUGCAGUUAACGCAAUAAGUACUCCGCCUGAGUAGUACGUUCGCAAGAAUGAAACUCAAAUGAAUCGACGGGG
This 392-nucleotide ribosomal RNA is filed under the name uncultured bacterium. RNAcentral describes it as "partial 16S ribosomal RNA". It matches the Rfam family "Bacterial small subunit ribosomal RNA", at positions 523 to 918 of the family's 1533-position model. The record is from RNAcentral.